GAUGAACGCUGGCGGCGUGCCUAAUACAUGCAAGUCGAGCGAACAGACGAGGAGCUUGCUCCUCUGACGUUAGCGGCGGACGGGUGAGUAACACGUGGAUAACCUACCUAUAAGACUGGGAUAACUUCGGGAAACCGGAGCUAAUACCGGAUAAUAUAUUGAACCGCAUGGUUCAAUAGUGAAAGACGGUUUUGCUGUCACUAAUAGCUGGAUCCGCGCCGCAUUAGCUAGUUGGUAAGGUAACGGCUUACCAAGGCAACGAUGCGUAGCCGACCUGAGAGGGUGAUCGGCCACACUGGAACUGAGACACGGUCCAGACUCCUACGGGAGGCAGCAGUCGGGAAUCUUGCGCAAUGGGCGAAAGCUUGACGGAGCAACGCCGCGUGAGUGAUGAAGGUCUUCGGAUCGUAAAGCUCUGUUAUUAGGAAAGAACAAAUGUGUAAGUAACUAUGCACGUCUUGACGGUACCUAAUCAGAAAGCCACGGCUAACUACGUG
Molecule: ribosomal RNA, 497 nt
Filed under: uncultured bacterium
Lineage: Bacteria
Description: partial 16S ribosomal RNA
Rfam family: Bacterial small subunit ribosomal RNA
Source: RNAcentral